CAUUGCCUGUCCCUAGAAUACCCUUCCUUUAACUGAAAGAUCAACUGCAUCAGUAUCUCCCUUUAGGGCUGCCCAGCCUUGAGUGUCUGCUUGACUCUUACCCGAUCUUUCCUGUUCCUCGGUAAAGAGCGUGACACACCAUAAUGGUACUUAUAGAAGGGUAUAAGGACAAAGCAAGUAGAGAAGAACCCCUUCCCUAGGAUGUCUGUCCCUACCCCAGAGCUCCGUAUAUUGCAUUUCAGGUACUUCAGAGUCAAAAGGGCAUCUUUGUAUUUAGCGGUCAGAGAUAUUUUUUUUUUUCUUCCAUAAAUUUGAUCAGUCACUUUUUGGACCCAUGUAUAUUGAGCAUUCUGAUACCCUUGUGGCAAGGAUAACUUAAUUGCACAUUGUGUUGGUAAUCUUCUUUUAUUUGUCUUUAUACCGUGACCACCUUCUUUCAUUUGAUGCCCUUUAACUCUUGUAUUCUAAGAAUAUGUGGGCAACUACAGUCUAUUCCUCUUCAUCAUGUUAUUCAGAACAAUAUAGAUACCUGUCACUUCUCUCCUUGCUCAGGCUGUAAUUCCAUGGGACUGUGUCACUCUCUGCAUGGAAGCUGUCACCCAACCCUGAACCGUACAGCAAAAAUUAAUUGGCCUCUACUUAACCAACAGCCUGUGUACCAGGAAUAUGCUCCAGACUCCCCACCUUGGAGGAGCAGGUCACGGUGAGGGAAGGCGAGCUGGCCUGAAUGUUUCGUCUUCUGUCCAGUAGCACGGGAUCAACUCUUCCUGAAUUCCCACCUCUGAGGAUCCCAUUUUGCAUGUACCAAGCAAAGACGUUUUUAGAGGCUGAUAGUUUUCUCCCAGGAAGCCUCUGCCCAUGCUGAGCUGUUUGAAGUUAUGGCAGAUCCUCUGUGCUGGCCAGACAGGUCAUGUACCACAGACAGUGUGGUACAGCAUAGACAGUGUGUCCCAAGUGUCAAGUGUUGGGCAGGACACUUUCCAGUCUUGCCUACUGGCUCCAGAAAUGCAGGCAAACUGACUUUUCCGUGCUCAUAUCUCCACAGUAAGGAACAGAGAAGAAGAGGAAGGCGACGGCUCAGCAGUUCUAGUGCGGAAAACAGACAAGAAGAGGGGUGGGAAGCAAAGACAGACUGAGGAAGGCGGGACAUCUCAGGCAGUGAUGUGAUGGAGAAGAUGGGACAGGCUGGUCUGUAAUUGCUUAAGGGCACUGCUUGUAGAGACUGGUCUUGAAUUCAGUACUCAUGGCCCAGCCUGGUGAGACUCGGGACCAAGUGCUGAGGCUGAACAUGACGCUACGACCCAGCAAGUACAAAACAGAAGGGAGAGAGCAGGUCUCUUCCUGAGACUCUCUUUUAUAGCACAAUGUCUGCUAACGUAUACAGCAAGGUCCUGAGAUGUUUCUGGACCUGGACGGGGCUUUGAGCAACCUGGUCUAGUGAGAGGUGUCCCUGCCCAUGGCAGGGGGCGGGGCUGGAUGAUCUUUAAGGUCCCUUCCAACCCAAACCAUUCUGUGAUUCUAUGAUUCUGUCAACAGCUGAGAGUGCAGUGAGACCAGGAGCUUUACAAAUUGCACAUGUAAUUAAUAUUUCUCAUGUACCUGAUGUGUUCGACGGCAUAUCUUCAGGCACGUUAAGGAAACAUACCAACUGCUUGCAAGUCGGGGAUGGAGCUGGAUAAAAUGGAAUAGAAUGGCUCCCUGUGGAGA
Molecule: long non-coding RNA, 1707 nt
Filed under: Calidris pygmaea (Spoon-billed sandpiper)
Lineage: Eukaryota; Metazoa; Chordata; Aves; Charadriiformes; Scolopacidae
Description: lncRNA (ENSCPGG00000015183.1)
Source: RNAcentral